AUUGAACGCUGGCGGCAUGCUUUACACAUGCAAGUCGAAAGAGUGGCGAACGGGUGAGUAACGCCUGGGAACGUACCGGAUAAUGGGGGAUAACUGUCCGAAAGGACAGCUAAUACCGAAUAUUAUUCGCUGGGCCGAGGGCGGAUGAGCUGGUAGGGGGGGUAAAGGCUCACCAAGGCGACGAUCAGUCACUGGUCUGAGAGGAUGAACGGCCACACUGGAACUGAGCAACGGACCAGACUCCUACGGGAGGCAGCAGUGGGGAAUUUUGGACAAUGGGCGCAAGCCUGAUCCAGCCAUGCCGCGUGUCUGAAGAAGGCCUUCGGGUUGUAACGUACUUUUGUCAGGGAAGCGGUACCUGCAGAAGAAGCACCGGCUAACUACGUGCCAGCAGCCGCGGUAAUUC
Molecule: ribosomal RNA, 406 nt
Filed under: uncultured bacterium
Lineage: Bacteria
Description: partial 16S ribosomal RNA
Rfam family: Bacterial small subunit ribosomal RNA
Source: RNAcentral